Long non-coding RNA from Perca fluviatilis (European perch), 1646 nucleotides. RefSeq lists it as uncharacterized. The record is from RefSeq and is a predicted model, not a curated record. NCBI's taxonomy places the organism in Eukaryota, Metazoa, Chordata, Actinopteri, Perciformes, Percidae. The transcript has 3 exons.
ACCAUUGGCAAUGUCCGUACGUUACUAACGGUCGGUGGAUUAGCUAACGUUAGUAACGUUUUAUUCAUAAACCGCUCCUUAAACCGAGCUAAAUCAACGUUAGCUACGUUUUAGUGUUCCAACAUUUGUCAUGGCAUUAUAGCUAGCUAGCUAGCAAGCCAAUGUAGCAUACGAUGACUCAGAUAAGCUAGCCAGCUGCUAGCUAUCUUAUGAAGUGUGACAUUAAGCUUAAUUAACGUUAUUUCAAAGGAGUCGUUAAUGGAGACAUUUCAAGGCUGUGUCGUUGUUAUCUUUUAUGUCUGUUUGCACAUUCAAAUUUACGUUGUCUAUCGGUUUUAUUUUUUAUUAAGAUAUAUCUGAGUCAUUGUAUGCUAGCUAAAUUGGCUUGCUAGCUAGCUCGGUUUAAGGAGCGGUUUAUGAAUAAAACGUUACUAACGUUAGCUAAUCCACCGACCGUUAGUAACGUACAGACAUUGCCAAUGGUAAAUUAGUUUGGGAUAUUUUAAUUUAGAAGUCUAAAAAUGGGCGGCAACAUUUUUUUUUUCACGGCAACUGUAACCGUCCUCAGCCUACGUUAUGAAUGACCAUGACUGUUAAAAGACGAACACUGCCAUCUUGCUUGCUGAAUUGUGAACAUGCAGAAAAAGGAGGGAAAUAGAGGGAAAUUUGUAUUCCGCUAUCAUGUAGCCUAUUUUGAAUGCUCAUGCUUGCAUGUGUUUUGUGUUAUGUAUAAAGUACUUUAUGUAGUUCCUUUUAAAUACAAAAUGCAAAUUGUAAUGCUGACGAAGACAGGCGAACACAUCGCCGGUUCCCGCCAAUAGGUUCAUUUUAGUUAGUGAACUACCUGGCAAAGAAGUCUUGCAUCAAUCUAAUCUGUUGGGACCAACGUGCUAAAUUUCACCUGCAUGAGCUAUUGUCACAGAGUACUUUGCCUCCAUGCAGCUGAAUUCCACUAAUAUAGAAAUUGGCUGAUUCUAACUGUGUGUGUGUGUGUGUGUGUGUGUGUGUGUUGCCUGCCAAAAUAACUAUUCUUGAUUAUUCAUUAUAAGUUAUUAGCUGUAAAAUGUUGUUGUUGGCGUGAUGAGAAUGACCACUUGCUUGCUUGACAUUUCUGAAUGCUUAUUGAACAGAAAGCUGACUGAGAACUGGAGCCUUACAACAGAGAAAAUCCUCUCUAUCGCCCCAAAAGAGAAGACGGGUGACCUUCUGAACAAUCUUGAAGAUUUCUCAGCAGACAGACGAGGAGACAUCGCUUUGCUUCUGCUACCUGUGGUGAUCCCCCCCCCCCCGGCACCUACAAAAUCCGGAGAAAGAUGGUCCGCCCCAGCUACGCCGAAUCUACAAAAGCUUUCGUAGAUGAGCAGCCUGUUGGAACAAACAUCGCUGAAUACCUUACGAAAAGGACAAGCACAGAGGUCCCACAUGUGCUUCUUCUUGAGGACAGGCAUCAGUUUUCACAAGCCUUUGUUAUAGUGCAUGGACAUGCCUUGGAGCACCCAUCUCUUCUUGGGGCAGUAGAUGCCUGCUUUAAGGCUUUUUAUGUUUUUGAUGUACAGUAUCCUAGAUCUUGUGCACAAGUGUGGGAGUUUUUGCAGACGAUAUAUGGUAUCCCUGGACAUGUUAGAUCAUCAGUACAGAUGAUGCGA